UAGGGAGACCUAAUCCAUUUAGAAAUCGAAAACAAUGAAAAUUGUCAAUAGAAACUAAAUUGGUCUAACCUAGGUCGUUCGAGAUUGGUAGACAUCUUUCAAAGUAUUAUUCGGCUUCGUUCAAAACCAUAUAUAAUAAAUGGAAAAAGACAGCACCUAAUUGUCAAAGUUAGACUGCUGGAUGAAGUUCCAGCCAGAACCUUGAAAACUGCAUAAGAGAACAAGAAAAAGCAGGCAGGCACAGACAUUUAGAUGGAUGUGGAAGCAAAAGAAAUUGU
Molecule: unclassified non-coding RNA, 278 nt
Filed under: uncultured Anabaena sp.
Lineage: Bacteria; Bacillati; Cyanobacteriota; Cyanophyceae; Nostocales; Nostocaceae
Description: partial 16S-23S ribosomal RNA intergenic spacer
Source: RNAcentral